RNAcentral lists this small RNA (530 nucleotides) under Pongo abelii (Sumatran orangutan). Its description in RNAcentral is "processed transcript". Lineage: Eukaryota; Metazoa; Chordata; Mammalia; Primates; Hominidae. The record is from RNAcentral.
GAGAUUGCUGAGCUGGCACAAAAAGGGAGCGAAGAGGGAAGAAAGGGAGAGGAAGGCGAACUUUGGGCGCCUUCGAGGGGAGCGAAUUUGAAUGGCCCCCAGCUCAUCAGCUAGUUUUUGGUUCUGAAAUCCGUUCAGGGGAUUUGCACAGGGGACGAGGAAAAUUAUGAUGAUAAUUCCGAAGAAGGCUUCCACACUAUUCAUUCAGGAAGGCAUGAAUAUGCAUUCAGCUUCGAGCUUCCACAGACUCACCCCAAGCAGGCACAAAAGAGAAGACACUCUGUUGCUGGUUCUGUACCUCAGGCCCAAUAUCCUUAAGUGCCAAAAUUGAAAGGAAGGGCUAUACCCCAGGUGAAUCAAUUCAGAUAUUUGCUGAGAUUGAGAACUGCUCUUCCCGAAUGGUGGUGCCAAAGGCAGCCAUUUACCAAACACAGGCCUUCUAUGCCAAAGGGAAAAUGAAGGAAGUAAAACAGCUUGUGGCUAACUUGCGUGGGGAAUCCUUAUCAUCUGGAAAGACAGAGACGUGGAAU